Molecule: unclassified non-coding RNA, 210 nt
Filed under: soil metagenome
Description: partial contains 5.8S ribosomal RNA, internal transcribed spacer 2, and large subunit ribosomal RNA
Source: RNAcentral
AACCUAGCACACCUGCGGUGUGUACCUGCGGAAGGAUCAUUACCGAGUUUACAACUCCCAAACCCCUGUGAACAUACCUAUACGUUGCCUCGGCGGAUCAGCCCGCGCCCCGUAAAAAGGGACGGCCCGCCCGAGGACCCCUAAACUCUGUUUUUAGUGGAACUUCUGAGUAAAACAAACAAAUAAAUCAAAACUUUUAGCAAUGGAUCU